RNAcentral lists this ribosomal RNA (252 nucleotides) under uncultured bacterium. RNAcentral's name for it is "partial 16S ribosomal RNA". It matches the Rfam family "Bacterial small subunit ribosomal RNA", at positions 524 to 776 of the family's 1533-position model. The record is from RNAcentral.
UACGGAGGGUGCGAGCGUUAAUCGGAAUUACUGGGCGUAAAGCGCACGCAGGCGGUUUGUUAAGCUAGAUGUGAAAGCCCCGGGCUCAACCUGGGAUGGUCAUUUAGAAAUGGCAGACUAGAGUCUUGGAGAGGGGAGUGGAAUUCCAGGUGNAGCGGUAAAUGCGUAGAUAUCUGGNGGAACAUCAGUGGCGAAGGCGANUCCCUGGCCAAAGACUGACGCUCAUGUGCGAAAGUGUGGGUNNCGAANAGG